CACGUCAGCGCGACCUGCUGACGUGGAAGGAAAUCGUUCCCUCAAGGACGCGAUUUCCUUCCACGUCAGUAGGUCGUGCUGACGUGG
This is a non-coding RNA of Gossypium raimondii (Peruvian cotton), 87 nucleotides long. Lineage: Eukaryota; Viridiplantae; Streptophyta; Magnoliopsida; Malvales; Malvaceae. The record is from Rfam.